This 447-nucleotide ribosomal RNA is filed under the name uncultured bacterium. RNAcentral describes it as "partial 16S ribosomal RNA". It matches the Rfam family "Bacterial small subunit ribosomal RNA", at positions 29 to 523 of the family's 1533-position model. The record is from RNAcentral.
AACGAACGCUGGCGGCAGGCUUAACACAUGCAAGUCGAACGCCCCGCAAGGGGAGUGGCAGACGGGUGAGUAACGCGUGGGAAUCUACCCAGUUCUGCGGAACAACAGUUGGAAACGACUGCUAAUACCGCAUACGCCCUACGGGGGAAAGAUUUAUCGGAAUUGGAUGAGCCCGCGUUGGAUUAGCUAGUUGGUGGGGUAAUGGCCUACCAAGGCGACGAUCCAUAGCUGGUCUGAGAGGAUGAUCAGCCACACUGGGACUGAGACACGGCCCAGACUCCUACGGGAGGCAGCAGUGGGGAAUAUUGGACAAUGGGCGCAAGCCUGAUCCAGCCAUGCCGCGUGAGUGAUGAAGGCCUUAGGGUUGUAAAGCUCUUUCAGUAGGGAAGAUAAUGACGGUACCUACAGAAGAAGCCCCGGCUAACUUCGUGCCAGCAGCCGCGGUAA